This 465-nucleotide ribosomal RNA is filed under the name uncultured bacterium. Its description in RNAcentral is "partial 16S ribosomal RNA". It matches the Rfam family "Bacterial small subunit ribosomal RNA", at positions 29 to 507 of the family's 1533-position model. The record is from RNAcentral.
AAUGAACGUUGGCGGCGUGGAUUAGGCAUGCAAGUCGAGCGAGAACCCCGCAAGGGGGGACAGCGGCGAAAGGGACAGUAAUGUGUAGAUUAUCUGCCCUCAGGUCCGGGAUAGCUGCGGGAAACUGCAGGUAAUACCGGAUAACAUCUCCGGAUCAAAGGUGUGAUUCCGCCUGAGGAUGAGUCUGCAUCCUAUUAGCUAGUUGGUGGGGUAAUGGCCUACCAAGGCAUUGAUGGGUAGCAGGUGUGAGAGCACGACCUGCGUCAUUGGGACUGAGACACUGCCCAGACACCUACGGGUGGCUGCAGUCGAGAAUCGUCGGCAAUGGGCGCAAGCCUGACCGAGCGACGCCGCGUGUGGGAUGAAGGCCUUCGGGUUGUAAACCACUGUCAGAGGGGAUGAAAUGCAGGUGGGUUCUCCCAUCUGUUUGACAUAGCCUCAGAGGAAGGACUGGCUAAGUUCGUG